Molecule: ribosomal RNA, 433 nt
Filed under: uncultured bacterium
Lineage: Bacteria
Description: partial 16S ribosomal RNA
Rfam family: Bacterial small subunit ribosomal RNA
Source: RNAcentral
AACGAACGCUGGCGGCAUGCCUAACACAUGCAAGUCAAACGAGACCUUCGGGUCUAGUGGCGCACGGGUGCGUAACGCGUGGGAACCUGCCCUUAGGUUAGGAAUAACUCCCCGAAAGGGGUGCUAAUACCGGAUAAUGUCUUCGGCCCAAAGAUUUAUCGCCUUUGGAUGGGCCCGCGUUGGAUUAGCUCGUUGGUAGGGUAAAAGCCUACCAAGGCGACGAUCCAUAGCUGGUCUGAGAGGAUGAUCAGCGACACUGGGACUGAGACACGGCCCAGACUCCUACGGGAGGCAGCAGUGGGGAAUAUUGGACAAUGGGCGAAAGCCUGAUGCAGCAAUGCCGCGUGAGUGAUGAAGGCCUUAGGGUUGUAAAGCUCUUUUACCCGGGAUGAUAAUGACAGUACCGGGAGAAUAAGCUCCGGCUAACUCCGUG